GGGGUUAUGGCUCAGCGGUAGAGCACUCACCUCGCACAUGAAAGGCCCUGGGUUCGAUCCUCAGCCCCA
Molecule: non-coding RNA, 69 nt
Organism: Ictidomys tridecemlineatus (thirteen-lined ground squirrel)
Lineage: Eukaryota; Metazoa; Chordata; Mammalia; Rodentia; Sciuridae
Source: Rfam